This is a long non-coding RNA of Amphimedon queenslandica, 276 nucleotides long. RefSeq lists it as uncharacterized. Lineage: Eukaryota; Metazoa; Porifera; Demospongiae; Haplosclerida; Niphatidae. The record is from RefSeq and is a predicted model, not a curated record. The transcript is spliced from 2 exons.
AAGUUGCAGGAAAAAUUCUGAAAGUAGCUAAUGGUUGUCUGCAGCAAUAUAGUUGAAGAUAGAGUGCAACACAGGUGCUUAAUGAGAUUGACAACAAUAAUAGUACAGGAGACAACUGAGUAGAUCUAUUAAAGCAUUUUAAUUUACCAUACACUUAUUAACAACUGUUCAAUAAUCAUUAUUCAAUUUCAAUAUUAUCAAAAUAUGUACUUAUAUACACUUUCAAUGCUUUGUUGUUACAUCAUUUUGCCUAAUACCAAGACUUGAUGAAAAAAA